RNAcentral lists this long non-coding RNA (383 nucleotides) under Citrus maxima (pomelo). RNAcentral's name for it is "long non-coding RNA (CMAX_LNC002493)". Lineage: Eukaryota; Viridiplantae; Streptophyta; Magnoliopsida; Sapindales; Rutaceae. The record is from RNAcentral.
UGCCUUUGAGGCUGCAAUUUGGAAGUGGAUGACCCCGGUCAAGAAAUCCCAGCCUUCAGCCCAUGAUGCCUUUGUUGGCAACUGGAAGCCCACCAAGAAUGAUACUUUGUCCAAACGGGGACCUAACUUUGGUACCACAAUGAAUAUCCUCUAUGGUGAGAGCGUAUGCGGUCAGGGUGAUAUUGAUGCUAUGAACAACAUUGUCUCUCAUUACUUGUAUUACCUUGAUCUGUUGGGUGUCGGCCGAGAGCAGGCAGGACCUAAUGAAGAACUCUCUUGUGCUGAGCAGAAAGCCUUCAACCCAAACACCGCGCCUUCAGCUGCAUCUUCUUGAGGACGUUUAUUGUAGCCAAGCUAUUAUUGUGGGAGUGACUCUCUCUCUA